GAAAGAUCCAUUAAAUUAAAUUAUCACUUAUGGUUUUAACAAAAUUAGAGAUUAAACAAUUCUGCUUUUUAUUUUAUAUAGUAACAAACAUAUACUAUAGCUAGUAAGUAAGAUCAAGAUUCUAUUAUUUUUUUUUAGUGUUUUCCUAUGAGCUAUCAGAUCACUAGCUUAAUUUUUUUACGUUACUCUGACGCUUAAAAAAAUUUCAUCACUAGUAUCGAUCUGAUCAUCCAAAAAUUCACUACUUUUGGAGGAUCUAGACAUGCUAGUUGGCGUUCUUAAAAAAUCCGAAUUAAAUUGAUAAUAAAUCUUGAUGUCAUAUAUGAUCACACCUUUAUACAAGAACGAUCUAAUAAUAUUUCAGGAUAUCAAAAAAAUUGGAGAAAAGUUAAUUAGCUAGCUGAAAACAUUAUUAUAAAAAUACCUCAACACUGGCCAUUGGAAGAAAGUUGGAAAAUAAGAAGAUGGGAAAGAGGAAAAUAAAUUAAGAAAUGGAAGGGGGCAAAAUAUUUGUAA
This 516-nucleotide unclassified non-coding RNA is filed under the name Hevea brasiliensis (rubber tree). Lineage: Eukaryota; Viridiplantae; Streptophyta; Magnoliopsida; Malpighiales; Euphorbiaceae. The record is from RNAcentral.